Non-coding RNA from Xyrichtys novacula (pearly razorfish), 8629 nucleotides. NCBI's taxonomy places the organism in Eukaryota, Metazoa, Chordata, Actinopteri, Labriformes, Labridae. The record is from the annotation of a GenBank genome assembly.
CUCUUUCUUCAUAGGUUCAUAUAGGUUCAUUGCAUGUAUGUAUGUAUGUGUGUGUGUGUGUGUGUGUGUGUGUGUGUGUGUGUGUGUGUGUGUGUGUUAUGCUGAAGUAGUAUACAGACUGAACAGCAAAACACAAUUAUAACCACUGAAUAUACAUAGUUUACGCACACAUUAACAAGGCUAAUAUUGCUUACAGUUAGGCUAUUCAGCUACUACACAACCCAAUCAAUCAAUCAAUCAAAUUUUAUUUAUAUAGCGCCAAUUCACAACUGUCGUCAUCUCAAGACGCUUUUCAAGGAACAAGAGCAGGUCUGGACCACGCUCAUUGUUUGAUGAUCAAGAACCAACCUAAGAUGGGUUUUGGCCCAUCUCAACUAACAUGAGUUACAGUGGCAAGGAAAAACUUACUUUUAACAGGCAGAAACCUUGGGCAGGACCAGCCUCAUGCUAGACAGCCACCAUGCCGCUGCUGGGUUGGGGAGGAAUGUAGAGAGAAGAGGGGAGAGGGGGAGAGGACAGGGGGAGGGAGAGAGACAACAAGAUAGGGGAAAGGCGAGAGAGAAUGAGUAUGGAGAGGGAGGGGGAGGGAGAGAGAGUAGGGAACAAGGGUGAGAGAGAGACAGGAGGCAGCAGGAACAACAGCAACAACAACAACAGCUCAUGUAAUGGUGAAACAAAAAGAAGUUCAGUUUACAGGUUUAGGAUAUGAGUGAUAAUGGACAAUGUUGAAUUAAUUGAGUGCGAUUACAGUUAGCAGGCUUAAUCGUAGUCAGUUCUAUUUUGUAUUAUUAAUGUCAAUAAUGACAGUGAGGCUGAUGUUCAUGUCUGCAGUAACAGUAACAGCAACAGUCCAGAGGAAUCAGAGAGAAGAAGGAGCUCAGGGCCGGGGGGGGGGGGGGGGGGGGAUCUGCGGCAACGGUCCAGAGGAGCCAAAGAGCCAAAGAGUUGGAGGAGCUCAGGGCCCAGGGUGGAUGCAGCUGGGGUCAGGCAGUUCCGCAGCAGACCUGUUUGCAGCAUUAGUCCAGUGGCAGCUAAAAGACUCAGAGACACUCAGAGAGACAGAAAACUGGUUAGUGACUUAUAUGGGACAUAAAGAUCUAAAGAGGAGAUAGAGACAGACUCUAGCUCAGUGUGCCAGAUAGCCCCGGCAGUCUAGGCCUAUAGCAGCAUAACUAAGAGCUGGUUCAAAUCAGCCCUGACUAUAGGCUUUAUCAAAGAGGAACGUUUUAAGUCUACUCUUGAAAGUUGAGAGUGUGUCUGCCCCCUGAACCUCAAGCGGUAAAUGAUUCCAGAGAAGAGGUGCCUGGUAGCUGAAAGCUCUUCCUCCAAUACUACUUUUAGAGACAUUUGGUACAACGAGCAGACCUGCAGACUGUGAGCGUAACGGUCUAGAUGGAAAGUACGGUAUAACUAGCUCGUUGAGAUAUGAUGGCGCCUGGCCAUUAAGCGCUUUAUAUGUCACAAGGAGGAUUUUAAACUCAAUUCUAGAUUUAAUAGGGAGCCAGUGAAGAGAGGCUAAAACAGGAGAGAUGUGCUCCCUUCUUCUAGUUCUAGUCAAUACCCGAGCUGCUGCAUUUUGGACCAGCUGAAGAGUCCUUAAUGACUUACUAGAGCAGCCUGAUAGGAGAGAAUUACAGUAAUCCAGCCUAGAGGUAACAAAGGUAUGGACUAGUUUUUCUGCAUCGCUCUGAGACAAUAUACGUCUAAUUUUUGAGAUAUUGCGCAGGUGGAAAAAGGCUGUCCUGGAAAUUUGUUGAAUGUGGGAGCUAAAAGAUAAAUCCUGAUCAAAUACAACUCCUAGAUUUCGCACAGUGGGGCUGGAUGCCAGGCUGAUACCAUCAAAUGUAGCUAAAUUACUAGAGAAGGCCUCUCUAAGGUGUUUAGGACCGAGGACCAGAACUUCAGUUUUGUCUGAGUUGAGCAUUAGAAAGUUAUUGGUCAUCCAGGAUUUUAUAUCUUUGAGACAGGCUUCUAACCUAGCAACCUGGCCUGCUUCCUCUGGCUUUAUGGAUAGGUAUAGCUGGGUGUCAUCUGCAUAACAGUGGAAAUUAAUCGAGUACUUCCUCAUAAUUUUACCCAGCGGAAUCAUGUACAGGGUGAAUAGGAUUGGACCGAGCACUGAUCCUUGCGGCACACCGUAGCAGACCUUGGUGUGUGCAGAGGAUUCAUUAUUUACAUUGACAAACUGGGAUCGAUCUGUUAGGUACGAUUUAAACCAGGAGAGAGCUGAUCCUGCUAUGCCUACAGAUUGUUCUAGUCUCUGAAGCAGGAUGGAGUGGUCAAUUGUGUCAAAUGCUGCACUAAGAUCUAACAGGACUAGAACAGAGAGAAAACCAUUGUCUGAGGCCAUGAGUAGGUGGUUCUUACAUACAUCUAGUGAUGCUUUUCUUGGACACAUCCUCAGUGAUAGUGCCUGAGCUCAUCGGGGGUUUCGGGUCUUUCAACUUCAGACCCCCUCACUCAGGUGACCCGACCGGGGUGAUCAGUUCCCGGCCCGUGUCCAAGAAGCACUCAACCACUGCUUAUCCCUCUGGAUCCACAGCCAUUGCGAGGCUCUCUCUGCAGCCUCAGAGGCUGUAGAGAUGGCUCUCCUCUUCCGUUCCCCUGUGAUGCCCAGGAGACUGUAGGCCUUGCAGAGUGAUUUCCCUGCAAAGCCUCUUCCCCCCACCUCAAUCGGUAGGCAUCGUGCACGCCACCCCCGUUUGCGGCACUCCUCCACCAGCUCUGCAUAUUUCUCUCUCUUUCUCUCAUUUGCUUCUUCCAUUCUCUCCUCCCACGGCACUGUUAGCUCCAACAUGAUGACUUGCUUGGAUGUCUCUGAGACUAGGACGAUGUCUGGCCUAAGUCUGGUUUCCACAAUGUUUUCAGGGAAUUUCAGUUGUUUUCCCAGGUCCACCCUUAGCUGCCAGUCCUUCGCUGUUCCCAGGAGGCCUGACUGGGCUUUAGGUCGGGGAGGUGGUUGAUCUCCGGCUCUUACAAAGGAGAUUUCACGCCUUGAUGGUUGUAAGCGUUUGCUCUGGAAGAUGGCAGUGUUGAUGGACUCAGCAACCGCCUUCAGCACACGAUCAUGGCGCCAGCGAUAGCGGCCUUCACCAAGUGCUUUAGGACAGCUGCUGAGGAUGUGCUCCAGGGUUCCUCUUCCUUGGCACAAGGGACAUGCUGGAGUUUCAACCUUGCCCCAACAGAAGAGGUUCGAUGGGCUGGGCAGGACAUCAUAGACAGACUGAAUGAGGAAUUUAAUGCGGAGGGGUUCAGCCCUCCACAGCUCGUUCCACGAGAUUUUUCUGUCUGUGGCUUCCUCCCAUCUGGUCCAUGCGCCCUGUUGCCUCAAUCCCACCCACUGGCUUGCACGCUGCUCUUCAAUUCCGGCCCUCACCUCGAGCUGGACCUGGUCCCGCCUCUCCUUGCCCUUGAGCUUGUUGUACCGGGUUGUUGGAAUGGUUCCCAGUCCUGCACGGCCGGCAGCCACCGAUCCCACGAGGUCUCUGUGGCACAGCCGUGAUUCUGCCUGGUCCACAGCCUCCUUCGCUCUCCACUUUCUGCCAGUCCUCACCUCAAUUCCUGCUUGGGAAACCUUUGGGUCCUUGGAUUCCCUGUACUGGAGAACCUCCCUCGCUCUGGCAACCAUGAACUCCUCGGUGAGGCUGUUUAUGGGGAGAGUCAGCUUGUUCUUGUUGCCGUAAAGGGCGAUGCUGCUUAGGCUUCUAGGCAGACCCAACCAUUGUCGCAGGCGGCUGCUGACCCUCCUCUCAAACCCUUCCACAGUGGAGAUGGGAAACUCAUACACCAGCAAUGGCCACAGAAUCCUAGGCAGGAUGCCAUGCUGGUAUACCCACGCCUUGAAUUUCCCCGGAAGACCUGACUUGUCGACUGUGGUCAGCCAACUCUCCAGCUGUUCGUUGGUCGCCCUGAUGGAAGCGGCAUCCUUUAGGGAGCAGUCAAAGGUUUUUCCGAGGCUCUUCACGGGCUUCUCUGUGACUGAUGGAAUGUGGGUACCCCCUAGAGAGAAGUGGAACCGGUCAGUCACCUUCCCUCUCUUCAGGACUAGAGACCUGGAUUUUUCAGGCUUGAAGCGCAUCCGGGCCCAGGUGGUCAGCCUCUCCAAGCCCUGGAGGAUCCAUCUGCAUCCUGGGACUGACACUGUUGUUACUGUCAGGUCGUCCAUAAAUGCUCUGAUGGGGGGCUGACGGAUUCCGGACUUGGAUUUGGGGCCUCUGCACUCCGACUCGGCAGACUUGACCAGCAUGUUCAUGGCCAGGGCAAAGAGUAUCACUGAAAUGGUACAUCCAGUGAUGAUCCCUUUCUCCAGUCGAUGCCGUCCAGAUGUAACUGUGCCGGAGGUGAACCUCAAGUUGAAGCUGUUGUAAUAGUCCAUGAUGAGGACUUUGAUGUUGCCAGGGACAUGGUGCCUCUCCAAUGCCACCUCCACUAGCUUGUGAGGUAUAGAGCCGUACGCAUUGGCUAGGUCUAGCCAUAGUACAGCUAGGUCUCCUUUCCCCUCUCGAGCAUCCCUGAUCAAUUGUGUCACCACGCCACUGUGUUCAAGGCAACCCGGAACCCCUGGGAUUCCCCCUUUUUGCACCGAGGGGUCGAUGUACUGGUUCUUCAGGAGGUAGUCUGACAGCCGGUGGGAAAGAAUACUGAAAAAUAUCUUCCCCUCGACGUUAAGCAGUGAGAUGGUUCUAAACUGCUCGAUGGUGGUUGCCUUCUCUUCCUUUGGUACCCAUACCCCUUCUGCAGAUCUCCAUUGUUGGGCAACUGUCCCCCUCCUCCAGAUCACCCUCAGGAUCUUCCACAGAUGGUGCAGGAGCUUGGGGCAUCUCUUGUACACUAGGUAAGGUACACCAUUGGGUCCAGGUGCCGAGUUGUUUCUAGCAGCCUUGACCACCGUCUGGACUUCUUUCCAGCUGGGAACCUUGGUGUUUAAUUCAGUGGCUGGUACAGGUGGGUUGAUUAGAGCUCUGCAUUCACCUAGGUCCUCCUCCCGGGCUGCAUCACUGUAGGUGUCGUGAAGGUAGGUGUCUACUUCCUCCUUUGAGCAUGUGAGAUGGCCGCUGCGCUUCUGGCCUAGCAGCUGUUUGGUGAACCCAAAAGGAUUCGCUAAGAAUGCAGCGCGUCUUUUGGCUCUCUCUUUAGCCCGCCUUCUAUGCCACUCUGCUCGGCGGAGGGUCAGCAGCCUCCUCCUAAGGACACCACGUAGUUCUGCCAGUCCUGGCUUCUCAUCCUCACUUGCACCCUUGAACUGCUUCUUCAGAUCUCGGAGUUCCUGUCGUAGCUGUGAGAUCUUUUCUGCCCUGCGGUUCUUGUAGUACUGGUUUGUGGUAGCACGCUUCUCCAUUGAUCCGAAUCUUUCAGUGGCGAUGCUGAUGAUCAUGGUAGCCAUUGUUUGGAGUUUCCCGUCUGGCCCUCCUUUCAAGGUAGCUUCCAGGAUUCCAUCCACGUCAUCAUCGAAUUGCUGCCACUCACUCCCUUUGCUGGCUGGGGGCCACUUAACCCGCCGGUGGUGUUGUGGGAUGACUGGCGUUUGGGCUUCCAGGGCACGGAGGUUCUGGGCACUGUGGGUUGACUCCUGGCCCGGGUCCUCCUGCGUCUCACCAAGGACCUCUGGAGCACAUGGGUUCUGGGUGCUGCGGGUUUCUUCCCGCCCCGGUUCCUCCUGCGUCUCUUUGAGGUUGAUCCUUGAGCGCUGCUCUGGCUGCCUAUUCACCAAACAGCCCAUCUUGGUCUGGUGGAUCUUCAGACCCUUUGGGUUUUUGCAGCUCUUUCCGCAUACACAUACAGCAUUCGUUGUCGAUUGUCCGUUUGCGUUGGUCGUUGCCUGGUUGUCCGUCCGUUCGGGGUGCUCAUUCUCCCCCCCUCUCGGGCUCCCCUGGGGGUAUGUUUCUUUAGGGCUUUUUUUAGGUCAUUUGACACCUUUAGCAGAGCAGUCUCUGUGCUGUGAUGGGUUCUAAACCCAGACUGGAAAUCCUCUAAUAAACCGUUGUUAUGGAGAAAAUCACAGAGUUGAUUCGCAACAACUUUCUCUAGGAUUUUAGAAAUAAAAGGAAGGUUGGAUAUUGGUCUAUAGUUAGCUAGGGAGCUUGAGUCCAGAGUAGGUUUUUUAAGGAGAGGCUUAAUCAAUGCAGUCUUGAAAGACUGGGGAACAUAUCCUGUUAAUAAAGACGUGUUAAUCAAUUUGAGCAGGGACGUACUAGGGACGUAACCCAGACAUUAGAAAAGGCUUGAAGUUGAGGGUGCUGCAAUUAGAGGUGCAAUUUUUUAAAUUCUCAUUUACACUUGAUAGACUAUAAUGCAUGUUCUAUUUUUUGUGUGACUACAAGCCUUUAAGUAAGCCCAAACAUUCAAUUUAUAACUUUACAGAUUGAUAUAAUAUGAUACUGUAUGUACAAAAUGUCCAGUUUGCACCCACCAGACCCCAUACAGGCGAGAACAUACAAGCCAAAUGUGAUGAAUCAGGUCUAAAAGGCUGCAACUCACAGUGAACUGAACUUCUCCAAAUAUGCCCACCUUAGAGGCUUACACAUGCGGAGUCCAGGCAUCAGAUAUAUUCAUCACACCAGUCAGCAAAUUUCUGACAACCAGAUAAAAAAAAAGUAGGACAGUUUUACAAGUAUUUUGCACAGCACAGCAGAGUAGACUACAAAUAGCAGAGACAUUAUGGAACAGGUCUGUGUACAUACCUCAAUAGAGGCAAUAUUUAAAACAGCUCACAACAGCUAAAUAUAUCAGAUGCUUGGUGACAGGCCUACAUAAUGUCUGUUGAUCAUAAUCCCAGCCUCAUUUCAAUAUUGUGAAUUUAUUUAAAAUUGUUAUGAUAAUUUAUCCAAUCUCUCUAAAGUAUUCAGCUUCAAGUUUAUGAUAGAGAGGGUAUUUUAAGAGGUGUUUUUAUUUAUUUUUCAUCUAUAAUUCAGGGUAUGUUUAGAAAGAUGUCUGCCUUUACGCAGAAUGACGCUGUUCUGCUGCAGCACAAAAUCAACACAGCAAACUCACAUUUAGCUCACACACAAUUCCAACACAUAAAUACACACUAGCAGCUGUGUCACUGUGUAUGUUGUCAUCUUCAGCACAGCAAGUGUAUUACGACUUAGAGCAAACAUGAGAUUGAAAUCUUUUUUUUUUUUUUCUCUCUGACCUGAAACUGGACUAGACCACAGAAACUGGACUGAACCUUCAUCUUUCUGUUGGCCAAAAGAUGAAGUCCAGCUCUAUUUGAGGAUCUCAGGAACAAUACUCUACCAAAUGUGUCUCUGUGAGCAGUCUGUUGUUGUCCUCAUGUCUGUCUAUCUUUUUUUCCAUGACCACCAAAGGUCAGGACCAGAAACUCCGCCAUUAAUCUUUUCUUCCAGUUUUUGUUCAGAAAGUAGCAAGCUUUUUGCUGUUUCACAAACUUAACAACCUCACCUUCAGUCUUGACUUCCAGUCAAGCGUUUCUGUGUUAGGAAUGAACUUUGCUGGCUCUUUAAAGGAUUACCUUUUCAGUGUUUUCACAUCAUCACAGAUAGAAAACCCCAGGAAAAAAGGAGUCCACUUCUCCUGGCUGGGUCUUGGUGUUACAUCUAGUUAUGAUCCAUAGUAAAGAAAUUGGGUAGGUAGAGUAAUUAUUUGUUGUAAUAUAGCUUCUUGCCUAAAAAGUCUCACAAAUAGAUGUUUCCCUGUAAAUUUAUUCUGUAUAAACCAUCAAUUAAAAGACAUCAAUCCCACUUAAGGGUCAAAUGAAGCUGUUUAAUUUUCAGCAAGCACUCAUACUAAUUUCUGUCUUAUUUCAAUACUAAGAAUGCACUUCUAAUUUAUAUUCCUACUUUCGAAAAAAGCUCUUGCAGUUUAUGUCAUACACAGUUCGAUAAGUUGAGAUGCAUGGAUGUGAAAUAACCACCAGAGGGCAGUGAUUGGGUGUAGAAAAUAUUGCAGGCCUUCUCUCAAAAACUGCCCAGCUUUCAAGUAACAGCAGCUUAAUGUCAGAGAUCUGCAAGUUUAAUAAAACAAAGCUUUUGAAUAUAUAUAUAUAUUUUUAAAUCAGCAACAGUCAUAGAUUUCACACAUUUAAAUAAUUGUAUUUCACUUUUUAAAAUUGGAACUUAGGUUUUGAAAAAUUGGUAUACAGUCUAUGGUUAAUACAUUGAGCUCAUUCUUCCAUAUAUUAAUAGGCCUAUAAAUUUUAUUCUUCAGAUAUUGACAUCUGUGACUAAAAUAUUCCCAAACAGAAUUAAAUUAUCAAUCUGUUAUUUCUUCCAUCAUAAAUACUAAAAUCUAAAUCUGCAUCACAUUGAAAAGAUUUGAUCGAAACAUGUAUGAAAAAAAAGAGCGUAGUACAAAUUCACAUUGGAGUAAAAUGUGCUCUACACACUCAUCCCUCCUACAAAAUUUAGCUCAUGCUAUUGCUUGUACAAAUGGGUUUCAAUCAACAUGCUCAAAAUCCACAAAUGACAAUCUCAAGCUGAGAAGUUAUAAAACUCACAGCAGAUUAGUAACAACACCGUAACACUGAGUUAGACACCCCCUCGAGAGAUGAAUGUUGCUGACCGCUUGCUUCUCUUGUUAUACCAACUUAAGUAACGACCACACAAUAGGAAUAAACAGCGGUCUGAGGAGCCACACACACAAACCUCAACCAAGAAGUCACUCUAUAGCC